This 327-nucleotide ribosomal RNA is filed under the name uncultured eukaryote. RNAcentral describes it as "partial 18S ribosomal RNA". It matches the Rfam family "Eukaryotic small subunit ribosomal RNA", at positions 1470 to 1796 of the family's 1831-position model. The record is from RNAcentral.
CCCUUAGCUGUUCUGGGCCGCACACGCGCUACACUGAAGGAGGCAGCGUGUACUCCUGGAUCGAAAGAUUUGGGUAACCCGCGAAUCUCCUUCGUGCUAGGGAUUGAGGUUUGCAAUUAUCCUUCAUGAACGAGGAAUUCCCAGUAAGUGCAAGUCAUAAGCUUGCGCUGACUACGUCCCUGCCCUUUGUACACACCGCCCGUCGCUACUACCGAUUGAAUGAUUUAGUGAGGACUUCGGACUGGGACCGAUGCGGCUUUCGGGCUGCGUCGGUAUUCUGGAAAGAUGUCCAAACUGUAUCAUUUAGAGGAAGUAAAAGUCGUAACA